UACGUAGGGGGCAAGCGUUGUUCGGAUUUACUGGGCGUAAAGGGCGCGUAGGCGGCAAUUCAAGUCAUCUGUGAAAUCUCCGGGCUUAACUCGGAACGGUCAGAUGAUACUGCUUUGCUAGAGUGCAGAAGGGGCAAUCGGAAUUCUUGGUGUAGCGGUGAAAUGCGUAGAUAUCAAGAGGAACACCUGAGGUGAAGACGGGUUGCUGGGCUGACACUGACGCUGAGGCGCGAAAGCGUGGGGAGCAAACAGG
RNAcentral lists this ribosomal RNA (253 nucleotides) under uncultured bacterium. RNAcentral describes it as "partial 16S ribosomal RNA". It matches the Rfam family "Bacterial small subunit ribosomal RNA", at positions 524 to 776 of the family's 1533-position model. The record is from RNAcentral.